AUGAACGCUGGCGGCGUGCCUAAUACAUGCAAGUCGAGCGAACGGACGAGAAGCUUGCUUCUCUGAUGUUAGCGGCGGACGGGUGAGUAACACGUGGAUAACCUACCUAUAAGACUGGGAUAACUUCGGGAAACCGUAGCUAAUACCGGAUAAUAUUUUGAACCGCAUGGUUCAAAAGUGAAAGACGGUCUUGCUGUCACUUAUAGAUGGAUCCGCGCUGCAUUAGCUAGUUGGUAAGGUAACGGCUUACCAAGGCAACGAUGCAUAGCCGACCUGAGAGGGUGAUCGGCCACACUGGAACUGAGACACGGUCCAGACUCCUACGGGAGGCAGCAGUAGGGAAUCUUCCGCAAUGGGCGAAAGCCUGACGGGGCAACGCCGCGUGAGUGAUGAAGGUCUUCGGAUCGUAAAACUCUGUUAUUAGGGAAGAACAUAUGUGUAAGUAACUGUGCACAUCUUGACGGUACCUAAUCAGAAAGCCACGGCUAACUACGUG
RNAcentral lists this ribosomal RNA (496 nucleotides) under uncultured bacterium. RNAcentral's name for it is "partial 16S ribosomal RNA". It matches the Rfam family "Bacterial small subunit ribosomal RNA", at positions 29 to 507 of the family's 1533-position model. The record is from RNAcentral.